RNAcentral lists this ribosomal RNA (362 nucleotides) under Tetra sp. GX29. Its description in RNAcentral is "partial small subunit ribosomal RNA". The record is from RNAcentral. Lineage: Eukaryota; Metazoa; Arthropoda; Arachnida; Trombidiformes; Eriophyidae.
CUUCUUGGAAGAGUGACGGGCGAUUUGUGCUUGAACUAUUUCUUUUUCACUUAAAGUUUAGUCUUUUUAGGUUAAUUUCCAGUACUAUUUCAUCAUUUUUAUAUUUUUUUCUACUAUUUUUCAUAAAUGAACCCCAGUUUCUCCUUUUUGUAAGCUUUGCCUUGAUUUGUCUUCCUUUGUUUUUUACAUUUAGAACUAAAUUUUUUUUUUCUUCUUAAGACAAUGGUAUAAAGGCUGAUAAAGAUGGUAUCUUUUUUAUUGUGGGUUGGCUAUUACGUCUCAGGAUCCCCGGACAAGUGAGUUCACCGCCAUUUUUUAUUGAUUUUGUUUAUUUAACUACUAUCUUGUUUUUCUGAAUAAAG